ACUGAAUAGAUACCCCGGUAGUCCCAGCCGUAAACGAUGCUCGCUAGGUGUCAGGCAUGGCGCGACCGUGUCUGGUGCCGCAGGGAAGCCGUGAAGCGAGCCACCUGGGAAGUACGGCCGCAAGGCUGAAACUUAAAGGAAUUGGCGGGGGAGCACAACAACGGGUGGAGCCUGCGGUUUAAUUGGACUCAACGCCGGACAACUCACCGGGGGCGACAGCAAUAUGUAGGCCAAGCUGAAGACUUUGCCUGAAUCGCUGAGAGGAGGUGCAUGGCCGUCGCCAGUUCGUACUGUGAAGCAUCCUGUUAAGUCAGGCAACGAGCGAGACCCGUGCCCACUGUUACCAGCAUGUCCUCCGGGACGAUGGGUACUCUGUGGGGACCGCCGAUGUUAAAUCGGAGGAAGGUGCGGGCCACGGUAGGUCAGUAUGCCCCGAAUCUCCCGGGCUACACGCGGGCUACAAUGGAUGGGACAAUGGGUCCCUCCCCUGAAAAGGGCUGGUAAUCUCACAAACCCAUUCGUAGUUCGGAUCGAGGGCUGUAAC
Molecule: ribosomal RNA, 544 nt
Filed under: uncultured bacterium
Lineage: Bacteria
Description: bacterial SSU rRNA
Rfam family: Archaeal small subunit ribosomal RNA
Source: RNAcentral